GAUGAACGCUGGCGGCGUGCCUAAUACAUGCAAGUCGAACGGACUGUGGUAAUUAUGAUUGAAGAGCUUGCUCGGAGAGAUUAAUUACAAUGCAGUCAGUGGCGAACGGGUGAGUAACACGUGGGAAACCUACCUCUUAGCAGGGGAUAACAUUUGGAAACAGAUGCUAAUACCGUAUAACAAUUAGAACCGCAUGGUUCAAGUUUAAAGAUGGUUCUGCUAUCACUAAGAGAUGGUCCCGCGGCGUAUUAGCUAGAUGGUGAGUAAUGGCUCACCAUGGCAAUGAUACGUAGCCGAGUUGAGAGACUGAUCGGCCACAUUGGGACUGAGACACGGCCCAAACUCCUACGGGAGGCAGCAGUAGGGAAGUCUUCCA
RNAcentral lists this ribosomal RNA (376 nucleotides) under uncultured bacterium. Its description in RNAcentral is "bacterial SSU rRNA". It matches the Rfam family "Bacterial small subunit ribosomal RNA", at positions 28 to 369 of the family's 1533-position model. The record is from RNAcentral.